UUCCAGAGACCUGUCCCCUAGGGUUUAAAAGCGCUUCCCCAGGGAACUUCGCUUUCAGUUCUCUAGGAAGUUCGGAGCUGCUAGAACCCAGACACUUGCUGAACGCAGGCUGCCUGUGGGACGUUAAGGGAAUAUAAUUUUGUGGGGCCACCUAAUCUAGUAGAAUGAAACAUUGACUGAUUGAUUGGAUGCAAUGUGUGGCAGAUAAGGAAGCAUUGCAGUGAUUUCCAAAGAUUUUCAUCUGAGCACUUGGAUGAGUGGAUUUGUCAUUAAUGAGAGAAACGAGAUAUCAAGGAGAGCCUGUGCCAGCGCUGCACACGGAGAGUGUGAGAAAGCCACGGGAGUGUCGUCAGCUUCCAUAAAGGUUGGCGUUUCUCUGAGGACCAACUCUAGGACACUGUCUUGAGGAGAAGAUGUCUCUCUUUAGAGGAGAUGAAAACUAACUAGGAACAAUACUGGCCCUGACUCUAUUUUACUGAGAACUAUAAAUGAUUUUGCCUUAAUUAAAUAUGGGUAGUAAAGGAAAAAGUAUUUUGGGGUCACAAGCAAUCAUGUGUGUAUGAAUUGAUUUACCAUAAAGCACUAGGUGGGUCUGUGUUCUACAAAUACCUCCUUGACAGUGUCGUUCCUCCAUGACUCAGGUCCCUUCAGUAUCUUCAUUAAACUUCUGAUCUUAGGAAAAAGUUGAAUUACCACAAAUGGGGUUUGGACAUUGGUGACAAGUGGGUUUCAUAACUCUUGUGAACAUUUGCAGACGGGACUUUGAAGAAGGAUCAGGACUUAGCCAACUGGGUACUCUAAUCCUGUAAAUUGGAAUCAAAAGCAAAGAAUUUAAAUAAUGCAAAGAAGCAAGGGA
This is a long non-coding RNA of Octodon degus (degu), 856 nucleotides long. RefSeq lists it as uncharacterized. The transcript has 4 exons. The record is from RefSeq and is a predicted model, not a curated record. NCBI's taxonomy places the organism in Eukaryota, Metazoa, Chordata, Mammalia, Rodentia, Octodontidae.